Long non-coding RNA from Ornithodoros turicata, 288 nucleotides. RefSeq lists it as uncharacterized. NCBI's taxonomy places the organism in Eukaryota, Metazoa, Arthropoda, Arachnida, Ixodida, Argasidae. The transcript is spliced from 3 exons. The record is from RefSeq and is a predicted model, not a curated record.
GUUGAAAGGACAUCGAGAAACAGCCAUGACUUUGCUGCUAACCCUCGCUAUUUUCGUCGUCCUUGCGACAGUUACAAGUCAGCAGGAGCUGCAGGGCGUAGAUCCCGAUCAUAGCAGAACUCAAGGGCGAAGCCUUCAUCAAACGCUCUUUGGAAGAGGUCGAUGGGGUGCACAAUGCGGUGGUCCGUGCCAAGGAUUGCCCUCGGCUUGCCCUCCUGGUUGUGUAUGCUCAGACCUUCGGGAUUGCAUUAAAACGUUGUGAUUAAAGCAUUCUGUCGCAGACUCCAA